Molecule: ribosomal RNA, 253 nt
Filed under: uncultured bacterium
Lineage: Bacteria
Description: partial 16S ribosomal RNA
Rfam family: Bacterial small subunit ribosomal RNA
Source: RNAcentral
UACGUAGGGGGCAAGCGUUGUCCGGAAUCAUUGGGCGUAAAGGGCGCGUAGGCGGCAAGGCAAGUCGGGUGUGAAAGCUUGGGGCUUAACCCCGAAAGGGCACUCGAAACUGCGUUGCUAGAGGGCCGGAGAGGAGAUCGGAAUUCACGGUGUAGCAGUGAAAUGCGUAGAGCUCGUGAGGAAGACCGGUGGCGAAGGCGGAUCUCUGGACGGCCCCUGACGCUGAGGCGCGAAGGCUAGGGGAGCAAACGGG